AACGCACCUUGCGCCCCUUGGCAUUCCGAGGGGCACACCCGUUUGAGUGUCGUGAAAUCAUCAAAACCUUUUCUUUGAUCCUUUUUGGUCAGGAAAAGGAUUUUUGGACUUGGAGGUUCCAUGCUUGCUUUUGCUUAUGAAAGUGAGCUCCUCUCAAAUAAAUUAGUGGGGUCUGCUUUGCUGAUCCUUGAUGUGAUAAGAUGUUUCUACAUUUUGGAUUUAGCACUGUCCCUUGGACGCCUGCUCCUAACUGUCUUUUGGACAAUGAUGGUGCUUCUGUCACUGCCAUCUACAUUGGCGGGAGGCUGGACCCACAAAAAAGACCUUGACCUCAAAUCGGGUGAGACUACCCGCUGAACUUAA
Molecule: unclassified non-coding RNA, 363 nt
Filed under: uncultured Russula
Lineage: Eukaryota; Fungi; Basidiomycota; Agaricomycetes; Russulales; Russulaceae
Description: sequence contains ITS2
Source: RNAcentral